GCUCACUGCUCUUUCUGUCAGA
Molecule: microRNA, 22 nt
Filed under: Arabidopsis thaliana (thale cress)
Lineage: Eukaryota; Viridiplantae; Streptophyta; Magnoliopsida; Brassicales; Brassicaceae
Also listed under: 1 other name
Description: ath-miR156a-3p
Gene: ath-miR156a-3p
Source: miRBase by way of RNAcentral